GUGCCAGCCGCCGCGGUAAUACGGAGGGUGCUAGCGUUGUUCGGAAUUACUGGGCGUAAAGCGAGUGCAGGCGGUUUGGCAAGUCAGGUGUGAAAGCCCGGGGCUCAACCCCGGAAGUGCAUUUGAAACUGCCUUACUUGAGUAUGGGAGAGGAGAGUGGAAUUCCCAGUGUAGAGGUGAAAUUCGUAGAUAUUGGGAGGAACACCCGUGGCGAAGGCGGCUCUCUGGACCAAUACUGACGCUGAGACUCGAAAGCGUGGGGAGCAAACAGGAUUAGAUACCCUGGUAGUCCACGCCGUAAACGAUGAGAACUAGGUGUAGCGGGUAUUGACCCCUGCUGUGCCGAAGCUAACGCAUUAAGUUCUCCGCCUGGGGAGUACGGCCGCAAGGCUAAA
RNAcentral lists this ribosomal RNA (395 nucleotides) under uncultured bacterium. RNAcentral's name for it is "bacterial SSU rRNA". It matches the Rfam family "Bacterial small subunit ribosomal RNA", at positions 505 to 898 of the family's 1533-position model. The record is from RNAcentral.